RNAcentral lists this long non-coding RNA (941 nucleotides) under Homo sapiens (human). RNAcentral's name for it is "RFX3 divergent transcript". Lineage: Eukaryota; Metazoa; Chordata; Mammalia; Primates; Hominidae. The record is from RNAcentral.
UGUAUCUCUAACAAUAAGGAGCAGUAGAAAAUGGGGAAUCAAAUAAUAAUCAACUGCUACCGUAAUGCAGAUCUGAGGUAUUUCUAUCGAUCCCAAUAUGAAGAUUGCAAAGGAUUUAAAAGUUUAUAGACAUCAUCUAGAUAACUUCAUAAUCACACAAGGAGAAUAACUACAAAACAAAAUUUGAAGAGGAGUCCAAGGCAUUUUCUGGUUCCAUACUUUUUUCAUUCUCCUGUUGGAUACCAUUUCUCCUGUCUGAUCCAAUGCUGAGCUCAGUGGUAAUGAAGUGCCACAUUGUGAAAGGGGAGCCUAGAACGGGGCUGCCAGAGAGACAGUCUGUAAUUGAAAGUUCUUUCAAGAGAAGGACUUCUAUCAGGUCUGCUGAGGGAAUAGGAGCUCCACCUGCUGACUUUUUUAUGUUUGCUGACUCUGAAAGAAUGCAAAACAUGAAGAAAUUGAAUGGUGUUAUUUCUUUUGUAAUUUCUCAGUGGAAAUAUUGUUUUCAAAAUUAUUGAUAAGAUGUACCAGUCUAACCAGGGCUUUCAAGAAGAAAAUGCAAUCUAUAGCUUGUUUUAAGAGUGGGGAUUAUGUUGGCUUCCCUGGGCCAGUCUAAAUAAUUACUUUAAUCUGGAACAACAUAUAAAUUCAUAAAUUGUUGCCACCACGACUCUUAGGGAAUCCUCGACUUUUCAAACAUUGCCUCUCUCAGCCAUAAAUUUACACUGCGCCACUCGCCCAUGUGUGUUUUGUUUUAAGAAGCUGUAGUCUCUUGUUACAUGUAGUUUGGAAGAAAUGCUAGAUGUUUUUGAUCUAAAGAAGAAAGAUCAAGUCCUAGUCAAACUUUAGUAUUUUAAAGGGCAUAGACAUUAUUUGAGUAUAUGUCGUCUGCGUUUCAGAAAGAAGCUAUGCAGUUUUGUAUAAAAGCCACAUAAAACCAUAAA